UGCCCUGUAGCUCAGUCGGUAGAGCGCUGCGUUGAAGGCGUAGGCGUCUUAGGUUCGAAUCCUAGCGGGACAACCA
RNAcentral lists this transfer RNA (76 nucleotides) under Burkholderia ubonensis. Its description in RNAcentral is "tRNA-Phe". It matches the Rfam family "tRNA". Rfam says of the family: Transfer RNA (tRNA) molecules are approximately 80 nucleotides in length. Lineage: Bacteria; Pseudomonadati; Pseudomonadota; Betaproteobacteria; Burkholderiales; Burkholderiaceae. The record is from RNAcentral.